UGUGCACAAGGGCACGCAUGAAAUGUCUGGCCCACGGUAAACAAGUACGGACGCUGCAAAUAAUCUACUCUGCUCGUCCAGUCCCUAGCCUAUAAAUAGAUGCCAUGCUAGCUCUUGUUGUGCUCACAAUUAAUCCUGACUACACACGAGCUUCUCUCCCUGGCCAAGACACAAUCAUAGUAUGAUGAAGAACAUGGCACUAGCCGGCAAUGGUAUGAAGAACUUAAUCCUCGCUGUUCUCUUACUGUGUCUAGUUAUAGGGCAGAUACAAGUGGAAGCUAAGAGCUGCUGCCCAUCCAUUACUGCAAGAAAUAUCUACAAUGCCUGCCGUAUCACGGGUACAUCCCGUCCAACGUGUGCAAAACUGUCAGGCUGCAAAAUUAUCAGCGGGGACAAAUGCAAGCCCCCUAACGACCACCUCACCCUUGACCCGGACACUGGUAAAUAAUAAAUUUAUCUCACUUGAUUUCUUCGUGUUUUGAGUCGUUAAUGUAUUUUCCAUCUGAUGAAACGUAUUGGUUUUGCAUUGAAGAGGAAGUUAAUGUGCUUAACUUCUGCAAGUUGGGGUGUGCGUCGUCUGUGUGCAACAACAUCAACGCUGGUAAGCACCUUUUGCUCAGACGGAGAAAACAAUAAUCAUUAAUUAGCGGCAGCUAGAAUCCUAUAAUCUAAUAUAUUUAUAUAUAUAUAUAAUUUUAUCAGCUCUGGGAAAUGAAGAGGCGAACGAUGCCGUUGAGAGUUGCGACCAAGCCUGCUCUAGCUUCUGCAACGUGCACGUUGGCGCUGCCACCGUGGUUGCUUAAGCAAAUGCAUCCAACUGGAUCGUCCUUGUGCUAAAUAAUUGGAUAUCGUAUCCACUUAAAGCUGCCUUGUGUAGUACGUUUUUGUUUGUGUCUCUCUUUAUAUUCCAAUAAGGUCGGUGAUCUUGAUGCCACACACUCAGACGUGUGUUCAUCUCCAGAUACUACUCCAUGCUACCUGCCCUUUGUGUUUUGUUCAAUAACUGGGUAUCAUAUCCCAGCCAGUGUGCCAUCUGUUUUGUGUUUAUUUCCUUCUAGUUUCAAAGGGGUUAUCAUGAUGUUACCUUCUUUCGAUAUGGUGCUUUGCAUGACUACUGUUGUAUGGUACCAUCUUGUUGGCCAAUAAAUACAUCUUAUCCUAUGACCCUUUGCUAUGACCCUUUGCAAAUAAGUACAAGAUUGUUAAAUACUCGGUAUAAAUUGACUACUGCUGUGAGUUCCCUUUCAGCUUAUCGUAGGCAUACAUUAUUGCUAGCACGGUGAAGACAACCAACACGAAUGGUCAAGUAAACGUACCGGUACUUUUGUAUACCAACACCCUUGCUUAAAUGUACCGGUGUUACUCCCCACUAGCACAUAUAUUCUUAUAUGCUAGCCGGCUUGAAAAUUAACCGAUUAAAAUAAUUAUUUCAAGACAGAAAUAACUUAUCGGCUUCUCGAAGCAUGUGUAAUGUGAAUUCAAGGACUUGAUGGAAGUUGAAUCGCUUAAUCUAGAUUGCUUUCAGGAUUUUGGGUAACUAAAUUUAACAUUUGCACAUACAAAUGUUAAUGUACAAAUAUUAAAUAUAGUUACCCAAGCAGAAUAUGAAGAUACUCUAUAGUAUAUAUAUACUAUAUAAAUCUAGUUAACAUUUAGUCUAAAUGUUAAAUCUAGUUACCUAAAAUCCUGAAAGCAAAAUGUAUAAAUAUAUAUCUUUUAAGGAAUCCCAAAGCAAGAGUUCAGUGGCAUUCUAUAGUCCCAUGCUGCUAGUUUGAGUUGGUCGAAGCCAACUUAAAUAGGAGAGCUCUCUCACUUCUCUAAAUACGUAACUGAAGGAGAGAAGGGGGCUUGGUUACACAACGCACGCACGCACGCAUAUUUGCGUUCUUUUCGCGUAACCAACCGCGUGACUUGAAACUUGCGACGUAGCGUGCUGCCAAGUCAAGUUGAUAUAACCUUUUUGCCGUAGGCGUGUAAUCUUUUGACAACGGUCAUUGGAGGUGAUAAGCACGCAGUCAAUACCUUAAUCCUGAGUUAAUAGGGCGGUUACUACUGCCAAUUAGUGGGGCAAUUUUGUAGGGGAAACGGUUAGCAGAGGGCUACCAUCUUCUCUAUAAGAAGUUCUGGAGACGUCCAGGAACACACAUGUACAUGUGAGAGACCCACGAAUUCCUUCCCAUCUCCCUUUUCCAUCUGGUGAAGUGUGCUAUGGUACUGAGCUGCUGGAUCUCGCCGGCUCUUCUCCUUGGCGUGCACCGAGGAGGAGGGUGAGCGGUAUCUCCGAGCUAUUGCCGUCAGGAAGCCUGCACGAGGGACAACAAUAAAGUUUUUGGGUAGCGCAACUACGCAACCGCUCGAUUCGAUCGACUAUGUUCUGCGCUGCCUCAUCUUCGAUCUGCACUGCAACACGUAACCCUGCAGCAAGUCUACACAAGGACGGAGCACUAAUCUGUAAGUCCUAGAUUGGUUUCUUACAGAGUUGUAGGUUACACAAGAUCUAGAAUUGUUACAUACUUAUUAUUAUGGGUUACAUGAUGUUUUGUACGGUUACGUCUAUUUUGCAUAUGCUAUUUUUACAUACCGUUUACAUGCAUAUGUAAUGGUUACGCCUAGCUAUUUGAAUCUAGAAUUGGGUUACAUAGCAGUAGCAAUGACUUACGUAAUAUGCCUCAUGUUUAUAUCUGGUAGAAUUUAACACGUAUCUCCAACAUAUUUUGAGGCAGUAUAAAUUUCAAUUCCUUUUGCUGCUCUGUUAAAUCCCGUCUUUCGUGUGGCCCAACACUCUAGUAUGCAUGUAGCACCAAGCUUGUUUGAGCCGCUUUGUGCUCUGAUUUUGCUGUCUGUAUCAGGUUGGACUGUUUCUUUGUCUUGCGAUGUAUAGCUUCAUAUCUUCUAGAGGUUAGACAGCAAAACCCGCGUUCUCUUAAGGCAACAACUCGAAGAAUCUGCAGCGCUCCUGAUAUAUCACUGCUGCAGAAACAAUCUUUAGUACUGAUUUCCAACCCCCUUUAGUAUCGGUUUGGCAAUCAGUACCACUACGUCGGUACUAAAGGGAGUUCUCUAGAAUCGGGUCAAAUAACUGGUACUAAAAGUGCUCCUCUACUACCAGUUGGUAACACCAAUAGGUAGUAACUUUUUUUGCACCCAAAAAAUUAAAGAAAAACAGCCGGGAGGCUCGCGCACACACGCAUCAUGAGUAAUAUGCGCGUGCAUGGUUUGUGGGAUUCCAACCCACGACCAAGCUAUAAGCACGUAGUUACAAAAAAAUUAAACACUUAGACAUUUUAGAGCAUCCCAAAUAACUACAAAUUCUUUAGUUUACCAUAUACCAUAAAAUAUUAGUUAAAAUAAGAGCAUACGCACGUCGGAAGAGUCCCAAUGCACCGGUUGAGGAUCAGACCAGGCACUUUGAAUGCACAUGCCAUAAGAUAAUUCUGCAGGACGAUGAUUGCAAUAAUGGACCAUCGAGAAGAUAGGGGCGAUGGGGUUGCCUCAUCAAUUAUGACUUGGCGCAACAAGACCAGCAAAGUCUUUAUCGACAGGGGUGGAUCAAGGGGUGGGGCGGGUAGAGCUCCAAUCUUCCUACCGCCGCUCGAACAAUGGAGCCCCCCUUAGCCCCUCCAUAAAUUUUUAGGUAGAAGAAAAAAGAAGAGAAGGGAAGGAAGGGGAAGAAUAGGGAGCCCCUCCUAAGUAGGUCGCCAUCGUGCUUCCCAACGCAUGAUCGCCGCACCGCAUCCAUUCCUCUACAAGCCUCCAGCGUCUCUCCUGCCGCUACCUCUGAACCAUGUGCAGCUGCAGACCCAACUAGUGUCUUGUCACCCAUCUCAAUCCCAACAGAGCGGCGGCUCCUGCCAGCACAAAUCUCCCUCCGCCUGUUCUUCACGAUCGAUGGCCACCACAAGCAUAAACCUCGCCUUCGCAUCCACGCAAAAGGGUCGCCGGUGUGCCUUCUCGCAUCGCUUCUCAGCCUCCUUCACUUGCGGCUGGCCAAGAACCGUGCCACCACCUCGGGUGCGCGCCACCGCUCCAGGGCCGCUACCCCAUGCGUGCGGCCGCCGCCGGCCACCACGCGUGUGCAACCGUGUCGCACCGCUUCCCUGCUCUGUGCCACCACUGCUACUGCACCACCAGCUCCACCACCUUGGGCUGGUCGCCAGGGUGACUGAUUGGUGGAUUAUUACUACAAAUAAGUUCCUUAUUAUCUGCAACUACUAUUAACUCAGGGAUACAUGCGUCUUUUGCUUCUCCUGUUAAUAUGUCCUAAAAUAUCUAGAAUGCCUUAUAUUUCUGGACGGAGGAAGUAUUUGAAUAAAAUGAACCAAUUUUAAAAAAUGUGUUGUACACUACUACAGAAAGAACUAUCAGUGUCAAACCCAAAAAUGUCGUCACUGCCAGUUUUGGGCAUCGUUGGUGAAAGGUUGGCGGUGAUGGGUAUCCCCUUCAACAACGGCACUAGAGCUAACAGUGAUUGACAUUAGAAAACGAAAAAGGGGACCCACCUAGCCACCCCUGCAACCCGGCUGGCCGUGCCUCCCGUCAUCCCCACCACCUCGCCUCCCCCGUGACCCCCCGCCGGCGCCCUUGCGCCUAGCCCCCUCGCCUGCCUGGCCGGCCACCCUCGUCACGAGAGAGAGGGGUGCAUGUUGUAUAAUUGCGUGAAUUUUUAAUGUUUAAUUUCAUGUAAGUUUCAUAUAAUAAAUUGUACAAGUUUUAUUGUAUAUAUGAAUUCCAUAUAUAUAUAUUUAUAAUUUAAUGUAUGGUUUCAUGUGUAUAUUUCAAUAAUGUGUAUAUUUAGUAGAUAGCCGAUUUUCUUUUUCUACAAGACAAGGGUUGAUGUAUAAUUACGUGUAUAUGUUUAUUGUACGGGCAAUUAGGACAAGUUUUGUAUAAAUUUCUUUUAUUUCAUGGUUGUUGUAUGGUUUCAUGUAUAUACAUUUAUUGUACUACUUGAGACAAUUUUUAAUUUAAUGUUUCUAUGGUUACAUGUGUGUAUAACUAAUUGUAUUAUUAGUUAAGAUGGGAGCCAAAGAGGAUGAAAGGUAUAUAAUGGAGCAGAUUAUUGCUGGCGGUAGUGGCUCAAACGUUGCAAGAACCUACAUCAAGGGUGAGGGUAGCUAGGUGGACAUGUACCUCAACAUGUCCAGUGAUGGCAAUGACGAUGAGGAGCACGAGCAUGACGUUUAUGAUAGUGCGGAACAAGACAUUGCAGAAUUGGAAGGUUCUAAUGAGGUGUGCUUCAUGUUGAUGAUCUGGUUGGCUUUUUUUCUUUGGUCACACCUUAGUUACCAUAGAACUUCGUCUCGGGAGAAGAUUGGAGGUGCUAUGGUGAUUGGAAUUUUAUUGCCUCCAAAUAUGAUUUCCAUCGAAUCAUAUCCCUUGUAUUUAUCUUCUUUUUAUUUGUGAGAGCAUCUUCUUUAUGCUUGCAAAACAAUUCAAGUGCACAUACUACACCUAGGGUGAUGAUUAGGAGUAGAAACAAUUGCCAACAAACGAACACCACAUCCUAAGAUUCUUAACUUGUGGUAUAAUUAGUCUAGUAAAAAGAAAGAUAAAAACCUAAUGGGUGUACGUGAGUGCAAUGCGUAUAUGCAUAUGAGUGGAAGGCAUAUAAGCAAAGAUAAUAUUUACACAUAGAUCUAAGCACCAUGUUUACAACUAAGUUGCUGAAUUUCUCCAUAGCUAUAGAGAUUAAUGAACCAAGGUCAAAACACCAUGUCUAUCCCAAGAUCAGUAAUUCUUUAUAGCACAAGAAAAAGAAAGCGCAUUGCAAAGUUUAUAAACCAACCAAUGCAGCAUGAAAACAAGAUGAAUAGCUAGCAAGGUUUAUUAAACUGAAUGAUGACGGUCUGCAAGCAAGUUUGAACACCAUCUUUACACAAGAUUGCAAAUGGAAAAUUCCCAUAUGAAGAACUAACAUGGAUAUGAAAUCAUUCAUCAUAAAGCGUAAAGAACAACCAAGCCAACCAUAUGCAAAGCAUGAAUGGAAUGCAAUGAAGGUGCAAGAGAACAUUUUUGGAUGAACCCAUUAUGAUGAUGGCAAAAUGCGCCGUGCCCCCCAGCCCCCGCGGUGAGAUCCCGCCGCUCGCUGCCGCCAGACCCUAUUAGGCCUCCACCGGCAGGUCCACCCACGGUCCCGCGCGACGUGGCAGCCUCUUGGCUCUCGGCGCUCGCGGCACGCCAGUGCUGGCGCAGCCCCACCAGGCGACUACCCUCCCCCCAUAAGGCCUCGGCCCCUCCCCAGCGCCGCCCCCCAACACCAGGACUGCCUGCUGCCCCCCACCGUGAGGUAAUCGAAAUCGACUGCUCAAUCUCUCAAUCUGUUGAUAUGAUGCACACGGUUGCAAAAAUAGAUGUGUCAAAAUAGAUGUUUUGCCAAUUGCUAUAGAUGCAUACGGUUGACAUGAAGUCAAAAAUGACAUUUGGUUCCUUGUAGGCAGUCAAAAAUGAAGAAGUCAAAAAAUAUUGAUCUGAAAUCAAUGUGGGAAAGGGCUAUGAAGACACGCAGGUAGAUUCCCUUGUGAACUUUUUAUGUCGUUCGUCUAAAUAAUUUUUUGCAAUGGGCAUACCCUACUCUGAAAUCCUGGGUCCGCCACUGAUGAUGAUGGUCUAAAAAUAAACCAAGCCUAGAUUAAUUAGCCACAACUGAAAUUAAGCAAAGGUUAAUGUCAUUGACCCUAGCUCUAUCCUAGCUUUUACCAAAGUUCCGGCACAUAUAGUGGUUGGGCCCACUCUCUCUGCUUCCCUCUCUGCUGCAUGCACGCACACGAGCAACGGGAGGCCCGACGAAGCCCAGAAGGGUUCGGCCGAACCAGUAUGAGCGCCGCUCCCUCCCAGCCUUCGCGCAGAUGCUCCUCCAACGUUCCUUGACCCCUCCCUCAGCGUCCCGUUGGGUUUAACAUUGCAGGAGAGGAGUCCCUUUUUUAAAAUCUCAACCACCUCCUCUCCCCAUUCACUCCACUCUCAUCUCCAUCAAACUCACCAAGAUCCGCACCGGAAAUCCCUGCUUACCACCAUGGCUGGCAAAGCCCUCAUCCCUUUCACCAACUUGGGCUUGACCACUGAUCUCGAUGGGGAAAUCACUCUGGCAAAUAUGCGUGUAACACUGCCCCCUUUGCCGAGGGUUAAAGCCAAAACACUCAGCAAAGUGGAUAGUACCCCCCUUUUUACCCGUUUUGUCAUGUAUAACGGACCCCUCUCAAUUCACAAUAGACAUCAUCAUAGGCAUUUAUAAUAAACAAUCACAGGCAUAAUUCACAAUCACCAUUACAAGCAUUAUUCAUAAAUAUCACAGACAUAAUCCAAAGUAAGCAUGAAACAAGCCAUAAAUCCAAGUUCAAGUCACAACUAAGUUUCAUCCAAGUUCAAGUCACAAAUGCAAUGUCUAAAUCCAUGGAGGCCAAGGAGACCACUGCGACAAAUCUUGGUCUUCAUUAUUCGAAGCCGCCGAUUGAUUCUGCACAUAGGAUAGGACAUUCUGAGCUAACAUCUAAAGUUGUCAAAAUUAAAGUAUUCAAUCUUAAGCACAAUGUGUCAAAUGACUCACAGGAGUAGUUGUGGGUGGCUGAGGCGGAGGGAACAGCAUCGAUGGCGGUGGCAAAGAUUGACCCAUGCUCGAAGCAAAAUUCUGCAUGUACUGGAACAUCUGGUCCAUCCUCAUCCGAUUUUCUUCCUCCAUCCUCUGCCGCUCGGCCUCUAACCUCCGCUGAACCAUCUGCUCCAUCCUCGCCGCCAUCUCCUCUUGUUGCUUCCUUGCUGCUUCCACCUGGGCCUACAAUAUUUCAUUGCAAUGUUACAAUGCAAAGCUAAAGUAUAGCAACCAACGAACAAUGAAUGGAAGAGAAAGAACCUGGAGAGCCUCCAUCUGGAACUGUCCAAUGGUUGGUCGUAGCCGUAUCGCCGGGCUCGAGUCCGUGCUCCUUGCUUGGAUCUGGGAGAGAGUGGCAGUAGAGGCCGUGUUGAUUACGCCGUCGCCAAUCCAAUAUCGGCCAUGCUUCUUGCCUCCUCCCACCCUCAUCACGAUUUCUCCAUCAAUAUCCUCAGAGCUUGAAUCGAAGUCUGGCCCGUGAACCUCCCUUGCCAUCACUGUAUAUUCCUUUGCCGAGUGCCCGAGAUAAAGCACUCGGCAAAUAGAAAACACUCGGCAACUUUACUGUUUCCCGUAGUGUCGCUAUUUUUGCAGGUUCUCGACCAGGCCAGUUCUUUGGGCCAACCUAUCAUUCACGACUUAAACAUACGGUGGCUGUAGAAAUGUUCUAUUCUUUUCAACAAUACCAGCUGGUUCCUCCGUUUUUAUUCCACCAAUACAAGCACCACCUUGUAACAUUUCCUAUGUUUUUUUUUCCUUUCGUCUGUUUUCUACAUGCGUUGCUCUUUCAUGCAUUUUUUUCCAUUCCUGUAUUCCAAAUAGGUCUACAUGAACACAAAAUGAACUAGGGGACAGAAAAAGCCAGUGAAGCCAAUUUUGAGCUUCACCAGCUACUUGCUACAUAAAGUGUGCUAUAGUGACGUGUUUUAGCAAAACAUGUUAUCAAUGACUUGACAUUGGUGACGUGUUAAAACGCGUUAUCUCAAUGGCAAAUCAUUGGUGACGUGUUUUAAAAAAACAUGUCACCGUGAGAGUCAUUGGUGAAGGGUAAUUAUAAUGCGUCACUAAUGUUGUAGCAUUAGUUAUGAUAAUUUAGUAACGCAAAAAUCUACCAUCAGUAUUGAGCUUUAGAGCCAUCGCUAAUGUGGGUUUCUUACAUAGUGAUGCAAGCUCUACAAGGUGCUGUUGCUGCCAUUUUAAAGCAUCCCAUGACUACAUGUUAAUAACAUAGUUUACCAUAUAUCAUAAAAAUAUUAGUUACAAUAAGCACAUACGCAUGUGGAAGAGUCCGAAUGCACCGGUUGAGGACUAAACACAUUGAAUUACUAGAACCAAAUGUGUGUUUAGAACAAAGACAGGGGUCAAGGUUUGGGUAACCGCAUUAAAAACAUUGGAUUUUACUGUACAUGAACACUUAGUUACCAUUACCAUGCCUUGAGCACCUAGUUACAACAAACAUUAAUUUAGCCACUUUAGAGCUUCCAGAAUCGCUAUAAAUAAUAUACCUACGCCGUACCAUGAAAACAUCAAGAAGAGAGACGGAUACAUGGACCACCAUCAAGCGAGUAGUGACAGCACGCACAAGAAUACCCGGAACCUGUUAGCUUGUCUGUAGUGAUCUGUUUUCUUCCCCAUAAAAUCCAUGAGUAUUGCCACAAAUAAUGAAAGAGGCUGACCAAGCUAGCAAGGAGGUAGAGCAAACGUGAUACACGGCCUGCCAAGAUUGCCCUGGAUACGCCAAUAAGAGCGACAGAUACAUGGAUCACACCAAUAUGGUGAAACGUAUAUUCAUCACACAAGCAAAGCUGGUCAGUUUAUCCAUGGUCAAAUUGUGGUCUUUGUUUUCACUUGAGAGCUAAUUGAGGCACUAUAAUAUGGGCAGGCCUAUCUUCAACAGACAUGACAGCUACAGGGAACUUGACAUAAUUUGCUGGGCCGCCUGUGCACAAUUAUUUGUUUUAUUGUCCUUGCAUAGAAUGCUAAAAUACUCUUUACAAAAUGUUGGAUCUAAUAUUUGAAAUAUAGAGUAGUAAUCAUAUAUUGAUCAACAACUUGAAAUUAUCUGUACAUUCUCGGUGAAGCUGUUGAACUAAUUUUUGCAAAUUAUUAAUUCAUCUCAUUACGUAAAGAAAAAAGUAAGUGGAUAAGAUAUUUCGUGGACCACAUCACUGCAAACAUGUCAUGGAGAGACAGACCAAGGAGGCAGGACGUGAUACACGACUUACCCUAGGUUGCCGUGGAACCGCCAAGAAGAGAUACAGAUACAUGGACCACACCAUCUUGGGAGUAGUGACAGCAUAUAUGCAGAAGAAUACCCCGUGCCUAUUUGCAUGCAUGUCUCAAGUGAUCUGUUUUCUUCAGAAAAUACAUGAGCAUUGCCAGAAAGAAUGGCAAGAGACAAACAUGUCAUAGAGACUUGCAUGUCUUGCCUUGGAUACGCCAAGAAGAGGGACACAUACAUGGAUAACACAAAUCUAGUGACACGUAUAUUCAUCACAAAGGCAAAUCUGAUAAUUUUAUCCAUGGAGCAGACCAAGGAGAAAUUGAUGACGGACAUGUGAUCUCUGUAUUCAGUUGAAAGCUAAUUGAGCUACACUAAUAUGAGCAGGACUAUAUUCAAGAGACUUGUUGAGAGCUACAGGGAACUUGUAAUAAUUUGCUGGGCGGCCUGCGCACAAUGAUUUGUUAUACAUAGUUGAAAUAUUUCAAGAAUUUAUCAACCUCAUACUCUGAAACCCUUGGUGCAAUGUACUCUGCUUUCCGAGGUAGACUGUUCACGUAAAAUGAGGUCAUGCGUAAGACGGAAUCGGAUUGGAUUCACAGGGAAUCAGAUUUGGAUAGCACCUUUUAGCAGGUUUUUAGUCAAAUGCAAAUUCGGAUCCACAUGUGGUUGAAUGCGAGUUCAAAAUUCUACUUGGAUAUCCAUUUAAUUUAGGUGAUAGCAAUUAGCACAAAAUGUUGGAUGAACAAAAUCAUAGUUAGACAUACAAUUACAUGUAUGGUUAAAGUAUAAUACAAUACACCAAGAUUAUUCCUUGAAAAUAUUUCUUAAAAAUAUUAUAAUAAAUGAAUAAAUAUAAUUGUGGCCACCAACAAAUAGUCGGUGGUCGCUAAGUUGGAGCCAUUUCUGGUUACUAAUGCGGCCUUCUCCUCGACCAGCGACGACAGCUGAGCUUGUUCCUUCUGACACUAAAUCAUCAGAGUCUUCCCUCCACUACUAUAGAAUGCACCUUUAGCACCAAUUGGGAAAUCCCCUUCAGUAUUGGAUGCUGCAACCAGUGCUAUAUAUCAAAAUGGAGACUAAAAGCCUCGGUCUUGGGUACCGGUUGCAUAACGCAUUACUAAAGGAGGCAAAAGAGAAAUGUAACAAAAAAAAUAUUUUGAAUUCCAAGAAUGUUUCACUAUUCAAGAUGACUAGCUGAGAGUCAACAGACAAGAUACUAGGAAUGUGGGUGCUUGAAUGCAUUUGUACAGAGGUCAUACUAUUUACAAACUCUUCUAUGUUUCCAUAUGACUACCUACUUCAAUGUCACGCGAGCCAUUCAGCUGGACACAUGGCACACUAGCUUGCAUGUCGAAUCCAUGAUUAAUUAUUUCCACUUGUGAUCUCUUACCAGUAUUUGUCCAGACUAGAAACGUGCAACACAUUUUUAGGAUAUGGACACGCAUAUAUUUGGACUAGUAUACAGGUCACCUUUGGAUGCGUACAAGGAUGACCGGGAGGGACUAGAAAUGGUCUAGUUUUGAUUGGACUACAAAACUUUUUGUACAGUGAAUAGAGAAUAUAUAUUAUUGUUGGAAUACGAGGUAGGCUACACUAUCGCAAUUCUGAUAUUCUACCGCGUAUAACCAAGAAGAACUGUCGUAUAAGGAUCACGGGAUUACCACUCGACGCACUACUGGUGCGGAAGAUGUAGAUAUGCGUCGAUGCAGUGAAGACGAUCACGUAGUCGUAUGUAGUCGAUCAACGUAGUCGUACAUAGUCGAUCACGUCCAGCAGCUCCUCAGCAGCUCGUCCACGUGCAGCAAGAUCGCCUCCGGUACCGCGGCUCGUCGUUGGCUUGUCGUGGCUCGUCGACGGCUCGUCGGCGGCUCGUCCAAGUGCUGCAGGCGCAACACCUCCAAGGUAUCCACACGUGCAGGGAGGAAGCGUCGCAAGCCGGACUGCUAGAUCCACGAGUUGCAACAGGCGAGGGCGUGGGAGGCGCGGCAGGUGUGUUUCGCCAAAAAGGUGUAAACCCUAGGGCGCCCCCACCCCUCUAUUUAUAGAGGUUCCUGACGGGCCUCUGGAUCCGAGGCCCAUUAGUACUUCUAAACCUAAUCCAACUCGGAUCAGAUCCGAAUUGGGCUUCCAGCCCCUUAAGUGUGUGACCCUAUAAGUUCGGAUACGUAUAGACAUGGCCCGAGUACUCCUACUCGGCCCAAUAGUCGGUAGCGGCCUCUAGCAAGACGUGCCAACUCCUAUACGCACACGAAGAUCAUAUCAGACGAACCAUCACAACAUAAUAUACAUGCUAUUCCCUUUGCCUCACGAUAUUUGGUCUAGCUUCAAGCCGACCGCUCUUUCUCAGUCCUGUGAUUCGGAAUCCCUUUGUAGGUUAACUCUUAACCGUACGUAGCAUGGCCAUGCAUUUUCGGAUCUGAUCACUCGAGGGGCCCAGAGAUAUCACUCUCAAUCAGAGAGGGGCAAAUCCCAUCUUGAUUGACCAUGUCUCAUAGCAUGCUUCUUGACAAACCUAAAAACUACCUUUAUAACUUCCCUGUUACGGCGUAGUGUUUGAUAGCUCCUAAGUAGGUCGAUCCACAUCUAGAAUACAUGCGACAAUUUCAGGUCUAAGGACAAAGCGUAUAUGUUGUUUAAAGAGAGAACUACUUCUCGUGUUGGGUCAGUCCCAGCACAUGUCUCCACAUGUGUCCACAUUAUUAGUUCAACAUCUCCAUGUCCAUGACUUGUGAAACAUAGUCAUCAACUAAUACAUGUGCUAGUCUAAUAUUCAUGUGUGUCCUCACAUGAACUCCGACUAGGGACAACUUUAGAAUAACCAUACAAGUAAAGAGUUUCACAUACAAUUCACAUAAUUGCAAAUCAAUUCAAGUAGCCUUCAAUGGAUAUUCAAUGAACACAACAUACAAAUCAUGGAUACAAAUGGAAUAUCAUCAUCUCUAUGAUUGCCUCUAGGGCAUACCUCCAACAGUCUCCCACUUGCACUAGAGUCAAUCUAGAAGGUACCUAAUACCCAUAGCUCUUACAUGCGCAUCAUGCUUAGCCUGCGGGAGUGGUUUUGUCAACGGAUCAGAAAUGUUCAGAUCCGUGUGUAUUUUGCAUAUCUUGAUCUCACCCCGGUUAACGAAGUCUCGAAUGAGAUGAAAUCGCCGCAUUACAUGUUUGUUCUUCUGGUGGUUCCUUGGCUCCUUUGCUUGCGCAAUUGCCCCAUUGUUAUCACAGUAGAGAUUCAAUGGGCUGGACCCAUUCGGGAACACACCAAGCUCAAUGAGGAAAUUCCUUAUCCAAACACCUUCCUUCGCGGCUUCCGAAGCCGCGAUGUACUCGGCUUCUGUCGUAGAAUCGGCCACCGUCUCCUGCUUGGAACUCUUCCAACUAACAGCACCACCAUUUAGCGUGAACACAAAUCCUGUUUGUGACUUUGAAUCAUCUCUGUCGGUUUGGAAACUAGCAUCGGUGUAACCUGUUACAACGAGCUCCUCCUCACCUCCAUAGACGAGGAAUAUAUCUUUAGUCCUUCUCAAGUACUUAAGAAUGUUUUUCACCGCUGUUCAGUGACUCUCACCUGGAUCAGAUUGGUGUCUGCUUGUCAUACUUAGCACAUAUGAAACAUCUGGGCGAGUACUUAUCAUUGCAUACAUGAUAGAUCCAAUAGCCGAGGCAUAUGACACUCUACUCAUGUGAUCCCGCUCAUCAGCAGUCGAAGGACACUGAGUCUUGCUGAGAUGUAUGCCAUGUGACAUAGGCAAGAACCCUUCCAUGCUGAACCGCUUCAACACUUUGUCAAUGUAAGUAUCUUGGCUUAAACCUAUAAGCCUUCUCGAUCUAUCUCUAUAGAUCUUAAUGCCCAGAAUAUAUGCCGCUUCCCCUAAGUCCUUCAUCGAAAAACUAUUUUUCAGUGAAGUCUUUAUGGACUCAAGCAUAGGAAUGUUAUUUCCAAUCAGUAAUAUGUCAUCCACAUAUAAGAUUAGAAAUACUACAGAGCUCCCACUAACCUUCUUGUAAACACAAGACUCUUCUUCGUUCUUGGUGAAGUCAAACCCUUUGACCACUUCAUCAAAACGAAUGUUCCAACUCCUAGAUGCUUGCUUCAAUCAAUAAAUGGAUCUCUGAAGCUUGCAUACCUUUCCAGCAUUUUUCGGAUCGACAAAACCCUUGGACUGUAUCAUAUACACGUCCUCAGUUAGGUUUCCAUUCAGGAAAGCUGUCUUGACAUCCAUCUGCCAUAUCUCAUAAUCGAAAUAUGCAGCCAAACUUGAUUGUCUCCCAUGGACUCUAUUUCGGAUUGCAUGGCAUUCUGCCAUUUUUCGGAGUCUGGGUCCAUCAUUGCUUCUGCAUAUGUCACAGGCUCAUCAUUGUCCAACAAUAAUAUUUCCUGCAUUUCGCGGAGCCUUGCCGACCUUCGUGGUUGUGGCGGUGCUUCUCUUGCCAUGGGUAUCUCAACUUGUUCUGCUACGUUAGCAUCACUCAUUGAUUCUUGCCCGAUCGGCUCAUCUUGAACUUCUUCAAGAUGCACUGUCUUUCCACUCUUUUCUCCUUUGAGAAACUCUUUCUCUAGGAAAACCCCGUUCCGAGCGACAAACACUUUGCCUUCUGAUCAGUUGUAAAAAUAAUAUCCCAAAGUUUCCUUUGGAUAUCCCACGAAAAUGCACUUAUCCGACUUGGGUGCGAUCUUGUCCGACUGAAGUCGCUUGACAAACACAUCACAUCCCCAAAUCUUUAGAAAAGACAAACUAGGAACCUUUCCAGUCCAUAUCUCAUAUGGUGUCUUAACUACGGAUUUAGAUGGUACCCUAUUAAGUGUGAAAGCUGCUGUUUCUAGAGCGUAUCCCCAAAAUGACAACGGUAGGUCCGACUGGCUCAUCAUUGAUCGAACCAUGUCUAACAAAGAUCGAUUACGUCGCUCGGACACACCGUUUCUCUGAGGUGAUCCAGGCGGCGUAAGUUGUGGAACAAUUCCGCAACUCUUUAGAUGAUUGCUAAACUUGUGGCUCAAAUACUCGCCUCCACGAUCAGAUUGUAAGGCCUUAAUUUUCUUGACACGCUAAUUUUCAACUUCAUUCUGAAAAUCCUUGAACUUUUCAAAGGUUUCAGACUUGUGCCUCAUCAAGUAGACAUAGCCAUAUCUACUAAAAUCAUCAGUGAAAGAUAUGAAGUAUUGGAAUCCUCCUCUAGCCGUCGUGCUCAUUGGUCCGCAUACAUCACUAUGUACGAGUUCCAACAAGUCUACUGCUCUCUCAGGAAAUCCUGUGAAAGACGUCUUGGUCAUCUUGCCUAGCAAGCAAGCCUCACAUGUCUCGUAUGAUUCAAAAUCAAACGAAGUUAGAAGUCCAUCAGAAUGGAGCUUCUUCAUGCGUUUUUCACUUAUAUGACCCAAACGACAAUGCCACAAGUAGGUAGGACUCAAAUCAUUAGGCCGAGGCCUUUUAGCACUUACAUUACAGACAGGUGAACCAUCAAGAUUUAAAACAAAUAAUCCAUUCACAAUGGGUGCAAAAGCCAUAAACAUAUUAUUCUUAGAGAUCACACAACCAUUGUUUUCACUCGCAAAUGAAUAACCAUCCUUCAUCAAGCAUGAAGGAGACAAAAUGUUUCGACUUAAACUAGGAACAAAAUAACAAUUAUUCAACUCCAUAAUAAAUGCUGACGGGAGGUGGAGUUGCAUCGUCCCGACGGUCAACGCAGCAACUCUUGCAUUAUUGCCCACGCGGAAAUCAACUUCUCCUCUUUCCACGCUUCUACUUCUUAUCAUUCCCUGCAUCGAAUUGCAAAUAUGAGCAACCGAUCCGGUAUCAAAUACCCAAGAAUUAAUAAUUGUAUCAGCGAGAAAUAUGUUGUCUAUGACAUUAACAACAAGCGUACCUGAGGUAGAAGUACUCUUACUUCCUCCAUUCUUCAACGAAGCUAGGUACUGCUUGCAGUUUCUCUUCCAGUGACCAAGUUCAUGACAGUAAAAGCACUCUUUGUCUGGAGCAGGUCCAGGUCCAGCUUUAACCUUGGGCGCUCGCUGGGUUUGGCUUGGAAAUUCCAGCCUUGCCCUUCUUCUUCCAAGAAUUGCCCUUCUUCUUAAAGCUAGGCUUGUUCUGUAUAGCCAUCACAUGGCUAGUACAAGCGCUUUUCUUGAUGUCUACCUCUGCUGUCUUGAGCAUACCACACAGUUCAUUCAAACCCUUCUCCGUCCCAUGCAUAUGGUAGUUCGAGAUGAAGUUCCCAUAGCUAGGCGGAAGAGAUGAAAGAAUGAAGUCAGUGGCCAACUCUUUGCCCAUUGGGAAGCCCAGCUUCUCCAAUCGCUGAGUGUAACCAACCAUGUUGAUUACAUGUGGUCCUACUGCUGCGUCUUCUGCUAGCUUGCACUCCAGAAAAGCUUUGGACACAUUGAACCUUUCAGUCCUAGCCUGUGUCUGGAACAUGUCCUUGAGCGCCACGAUCAUAUCGUGUGCCUCAUGAUUUGUUUCGAACUGCAUCUGCAGCUCGGGUUCCAUGCAAGCAAGCAUAAGGCAGCUUACCUCAAGAUUAGCAUCAAAUGCCUUCUUGUAAGCAGCCUUAACGGCAGCAGAUGCAUCAUCAGCAGGUACUGGUGGUAGUGGGGUAUCUAGAACAUCUUCCUUUUUAUCGGCCCUGAGAACAAUUCUCAGGUUACGGAUCCAAUCCGAGUAGUUUGUUCCAUUCAACUUGUCCUUCUCAAGGACCGAGCGCAAAGCAAACGAUGUGGUGGUGUUGCUAGGUGCCAUUUAAUCUACAACAAAAGUAAUGCAAAAUACACUAAGACAAACGUAUCCAUGAUAGAGCAAAUUACAUUAAACUAUUUUAACAGAAUCUACUCCCACUAAAAUCAAUAUCCCUCUAUUGAAACUUAGUGAUUCAGGAUCCACAACUAACAAGUCUACUAGUGAGCUUUAGCAUCACCGCUAGCAAACGAGGUAGAUCGGUAAGCAACUUUUGCUAAUCAUAUCACAUAUGACUCCUGUUGUUGGGUGACAUCUCCAUGUCUCGGCGCCCAACCAUUAUGCCCCAAGGUCCUUAACCGUUAAGAUGACCUCGUUAAGCAAACCAACCCUUAUGCGUGUAAGUGUCCGACACAAACCCGUCUAGUCAAGGAAAACUAGUGGCACCCUAAUUUCAUAGACCCACCACUAAUUGUACAAGACAUGGGACGGUGCAAGUUUUAGUUGGGAGGGCAUACUAACUUAAAUUUUUUGUGAGGGAUCGUUCUACUUCUAACAUCACAGCAUGCAGAAAGUAAAACAUAAACAGAAUAGCAUUCACACAGCUGUGACACAGUAUGGCCCGUUUUUAUAUGGUGAUCUCCAUCUCCAUAGAACCUGUUCACCAUGGUGAUCUCCAUCUCCAUGUUCCAUGUGCGCCAUCCUCCUGGUGAGGAGUCCUCCAAGAACUAGAACAUGCUAUUACACCUAAUAGCUAGUAAAGAAUCUAGUAAUGAAGAUUACAUAGUUGCUUGGAUCAUCACAGAUUGGUACGCAGACCAUUAAAUACAAUAAAGUGACAACACAUAUGGCUCCUGCCGUGUUGCCGUACGCGCGACACGCAGGUCACGAAUGAGUUACACACAUGCAUCACAUACACAAGGGGGCCAUACUGAUCACAAGAUACAUACAUACAUCCUGCAAAACAGAGUUAGGCGUCCUAACGUUCCAAACUUCGAAGGCCCGAAACUCCAUCUUCCAAGCCGAAUUUGGGAAAUCUAAUUUUGCCGAAAACGGCAAAGCGGUUGAAUUUCAUGUGUAACUUUUUCUGUAGAUCAAUUUUCAUAUAAAAUUCGCCCCGAUCCGAGAUCGUACCGAAAAGUUACGGCUGAUUUACCGAAGCAUACGCAUACGGCAAAAAUUCCGACCCCGGCAGUAGAUCCCAUCUACUAUUGCACAUCUAAUGCGCCUGGCGUAUGAUCCUGGAUUUCGAUUCGACCAAUCAUAUUGAUCUUCGCUCACUGCAACUGGAAUUACGUGUAUCACUUAACUCGUCGGCGGCUCGUCGGCGGCUCAUCCAAGUGCUGCAGGCCCAACACCUCCAAGGUAUCCACACGUGCAGGGAGGAAGCGUCGCAAACCGGACUGCUAGAUCCGCGAGUUGCAAUAGGCGAGGGCGUGGGAGGCGCCGCAGGUGUGUUUCGCCAAAAAGAUGUAAACCCUAGGGCGCCCCCACCCCUCUAUUUAUAGAGGUUCCUGACGGGCCUCUGGAUCCGAGGCCCAUUAGUACUUCUAAACCUAAUCCAACUCGGAUCAGAUCCGAAUUGGGCUUCCAGCCCCUUAAGUGUGUGACCCUAUGGGUUCGGAUACGUAUAGACAUGGCCCGAGUACUCCUACUCGGCCCAAUAGUCGGUAGCGGCCUCUAGCAAGACGUGCCAACUCCUAUACACACACGAAGAUCAUAUCAGAUGAACCAUCACAACAUAAUAUACAUGCUAUUCCCUUUGCCUCACGAUAUUUGGUCUAGCUUCAAGCCGACCGCUCUUUCUCAAUCCUGUGAUUCGGAAUCCCUUUGUAGGUUAACUCUUAACCGUACGUAGCAUGGCCAUGCAUUUUCGGAUCCGAUCACUCGAGGGGCCCAGAGAUAUCACUCUCAAUCAGAGAGGGGCAAAUCCCAUCUUGAUUGACCAUGUCUCAUAGCAUGCUUCUUGACAAACCCGAAAACUACCUUUAUAACUACCCUGUUACGGCGUAGCAUUUGAUAGCCCCUAAGUAGGUCGAUCCACAUCUAGAAUACAUGCGACAAUCUCAGGUCUAAGGACAAAGCGUAUAUGUUGUUUAAAGAGAGAACUACUUCUCGUGUUGGGUCAGUCCCAGCACAUGUCUCCACAUGUGUCCACAUUAUUAGUUCAACAUCUCCAUGUCCAUGACUUGUGAAACAUAGUCAUCAACUAAUACAUGUGCUAGUCUAAUAUUCAUGUGUGUCCUCACAUGAACUCCGACUAGGGACAACUUUAGAAUAACCAUACAAGUAAAGAGUUUCACAUACAAUUCACAUAAUUGCAAAUCAAUUCAAGUAGCCUUCAAUGGAUAUUCAAUGAACACAACAUACAAAUCAUGGAUACAAAUGGAAUAUCAUCAUCUCUAUGAUUGCCUCUAGGGCAUACCUCCAACAAUUAUUUCAUGUAAAUUUUUGACAAUUUUUUAAAAUUGUUUGAUAUUUUUUAAAUUUUUUUUAAAAUAACUUUGCCGAGUGUCCUAUUGUAGACACUCGGCAAAGCAGCCUUCACCGAGUGUUACCCCUGGGACACUCGGCGAAUUAAUGCCCGGCCGCUCAAGAAUAUGUGCCCGGCCCCCUCACUCUCCCGGCCCCCCUCACUCUCACUCCCCUCACUCCCUCCUCUCUCCCUCCUCUCUCCCUCUCGCCGCCGCCCGAAACCCCCGCCGCCGCCCGCCGCCCGGCAUGCCGCCCAGCGCCCCCCGCCGCCGCCCGGCGCUCCCGAAUCCGCCGCCGCCCGCCCGGCGCCCGGCCCCCGGAUCCGCCGCCGCCGGCCGCCCGGCGCCCCCGGAUUCGCCGCCGCCCGCCCGGCCCCCGGCCCCCGGAUCAGCCGCCGCCCGCCGCCCGGCGCACGGCGCCCCCGGAUCCGCCGCCGCCUGCCCGGCGCCCGGCCCCUGGCCCCCUGAUCCGCCGCCGCCCGCCCGGAUCCGCCGCCGCCCGCCCGGCGCCCGGCCCCCGGCCCCCGGAUCCACCGCCGCCCCCCCGGCCCCCGGAUCCGCCGCCCGCCCGUCCCCUCCACCGGAUCCGCCGGCGCCGGGGCCUGAAGAGAAGAGAAGAGGAGAGGAUGGUGGCGGCGGCGGCCGCGGCGGCGGAGCAGGUGGCAGAGCAUGCAUGAUUUUUUUUUAUUUUUUCAAUAAUUGUUCGCCAAGUGUUUUCUGGGCACUCGGCAAAGUCUUUGCCGAGUGCCCGACACAAAACACUCGGCGAACCAGUGUUUGCCGUCAAGAUUUUUGCCGUGUGUCGUUUGCCGAGUGUUACACUCGGCAAACGCUUUGUCGAGUGUUUUUGGGGUUUCGCGGAGUGACCCUGGCACUCGGCAUCACGCAUGUUUCCCUUAGUGAACUUGAAAUUAUCUGUACAUUCUCGGUGAAGCUGUUGAACUAAUUUUUGCAAAUUAUUAAUUCAUCUCAUUACGCAAAGAAAAAAGUAAGUGGAUAAGAUAUUUCGUGGACCACAUCACUGCAAACAUGUCAUGGAGAGACAGACCAAGGAGGCAGGACGUGAUACACGACUUACCCUAGGUUGCCGUGGAACCGCCAAGAAGAGAUACAGAUACAUGGACCACACCAUCUUGGGAGUAGUGACAGCAUAUAUGCAGAAGAAUACCCCGUGCCUAUUUGCAUGCAUGUCUCAAGUGAUCUGUUUUCUUCAGAAAAUACAUGAGCAUUGCCAGAAAGAAUGGCAAGAGACAAACAUGUCAUAGAGACUUGCAUGUCUUGCCUUGGAUACGCCAAGAAGAGGGACACAUACAUGGAUAACACAAAUCUAGUGACACGUAUAUUCAUCACAAAGGCAAAUCUGAUAAUUUUAUCCAUGGAGCAGACCAAGGAGAAAUUGAUGACGGACAUGUGAUCUCUGUAUUCAGUUGAAAGCUAAUUGAGCUACACUAAUAUGAGCAGGACUAUAUUCAAGAGACUUGUUGAGAGCUACAGGGAACUUGUAAUAAUUUGCUGGGCGGCCUGCGCACAAUGAUUUGUUAUACAUAGUUGAAAUAUUUCAAGAAUUUAUCAACCUCAUACUCUGAAACCCUUGGUGCAAUGUACUCUGCUUUCCGAGGUAGACUGUUCACGUAAAAUGAGGUCAUGCGUAAGACGGAAUCGGAUUGGAUUCACAGGGAAUCAGAUUUGGAUAGCACCUUUUAGCAGGUUUUUAGUCAAAUGCAAAUUCGGAUCCACAUGUGGUUGAAUGCGAGUUCAAAAUUCUACUUGGAUAUCCAUUUAAUUUAGGUGAUAGCAAUUAGCACAAAAUGUUGGAUGAACAAAAUCAUAGUUAGACAUACAAUUACAUGUAUGGUUAAAGUAUAAUACAAUACACCAAGAUUAUUCCUUGAAAAUAUUUCUUAAAAAUAUUAUAAUAAAUGAAUAAAUAUAAUUGUGGCCACCAACAAAUAGUCGGUGGUCGCUAAGUUGGAGCCAUUUCUGGUUACUAAUGCGGCCUUCUCCUCGACCAGCGACGACAGCUGAGCUUGUUCCUUCUGACACUAAAUCAUCAGAGUCUUCCCUCCACUACUAUAGAAUGCACCUUUAGCACCAAUUGGGAAAUCCCCUUCAGUAUUGGAUGCUGCAACCAGUGCUAUAUAUCAAAAUGGAGACUAAAAGCCUCGGUCUUGGGUACCGGUUGCAUAACGCAUUACUAAAGGAGGCAAAAGAGAAAUGUAACAAAAAAAAUAUUUUGAAUUCCAAGAAUGUUUCACUAUUCAAGAUGACUAGCUGAGAGUCAACAGACAAGAUACUAGGAAUGUGGGUGCUUGAAUGCAUUUGUACAGAGGUCAUACUAUUUACAAACUCUUCUAUGUUUCCAUAUGACUACCUACUUCAAUGUCACGCGAGCCAUUCAGCUGGACACAUGGCACACUAGCUUGCAUGUCGAAUCCAUGAUUAAUUAUUUGCACUUGUGAUCUCUUACCAGUAUUUGUCCAGACUAGAAACGUGCAACACAUUUUUAGGAUAUGGACACGCAUAUAUUUGGACUAGUAUACAGGUCACCUUUGGAUGCGUACAAGGAUGACCGGGAGGGACUAAUGGAUACAAGGAAGGGACCAUCAGGAUUAAUAUUGACAUAUGCCACAUGACAAUCUUCAUUGUCAUGCAAUCCCUAUCAACAAUCAUGGAAUCCCUAGUGUACUAAUCCCUGGAGGGUUGUGUGGAAAUUUAUUUUACCUUGCGGUGAAAAUCUCAUGAGCAGUCAUUAGUUAAGCUGACUAGCUGAGAUAUAAUAGACAAGCUAGUAAGAUUGGGAGCAUCAAUGCAUCCAUACAGGGUCACAAUAUCCUUUCCAUUCACUUUUAUAUAUAACCCUACGAAUACAAGUCCAACGAAAUGCGGGCCUUUCGAUCAAGAUAAAUUAAAUGGCCCACUUGUAUUUCUAAUCCAGGAUUAACUAUGCCCUCUGUUCAUCUCUUGCAAGCACGUGCAACACAUUUUCACGAUAUGGACAUGCAUGGAGGUUAUUAUACUGUUUGGACAAACUCUGAUGUGCCAUGACCUAAAUGCUUAGGGCCUGUUUGGUUUGAGUUGCUUAUUAUAAGCAACUUAAAGUUGCUUAAAGUUGCUUAUUUGAAGUUGCUUAUUUUUAGUCUAAACUGUUUGGAUACCCUUGCUUAUGAGCAUUGAAUGAGUUGGACAUUGUCAAAUUUGCCCCAUGUGUUGCUACCCCUCCAAUUUGCCUCCCCACCCUUCUUCUUCCUGCACACGUCCGAUCCCGGGGGCCGACGGCGGGCAGGGAGCAGCAGCAGCUGGCCAGGGCGGCGGUGGGGCGGGAGCGGCGGCGCACACCAGCACGCGCUCGCACGCCAGGUGCUAGGGCGCGGCGAGGCAGUCGUCGUAGCCCACCGGGAGCGGGUGCUCGGGCGCGAGGCGGUACUCGACGGAGAUGCCGAGCGUCGGGCGCGCGGCGGCGAGCGCGUUGAGGAAGCGAUGGUAGUGCGGCGACGUCGCGGACUCCGCCACGAAGCCGCCGCCGUGGACGUACACCACCACGGGCAGCUUCGUCUUGCCGUCGGCGGCCGCGGCCGCGGCCUGGGGUGGCAGGUAGAGGCGGACGGAGCAGGAGCCGAGGUCGACGUCCCUGGAGUCGACGCCCGUGGCGGCGUCCAGGCUAGGCCCGACCGGCGGCGGCACGAGCGGGCGCUCGAUGCGGCCGCUCUUGUAAAUCCGACGGGUCUGUGCGGAGGCGGGCGGCGGGCGGGAGCGGCGGGUGGGAGCGGCGGCAGGUGGUGCGGAGGCCGGCGGCGGCGGGUGGCGCGGAGGAAGGGGAGCUGGUGAGUGGUGACAGGGGAGGGGGGGAGAGAGAGGGGGGGGUAGGGUGCAUUGAAUGAGGGCAGGAGGUGUAAAGUGCACCUUUUAGUCCCCAUGAGCAACCAUAAGCAGCCCAAGAGUUGCUUAUUUGCUUAUAAUAAGCAACCUCAUAAGCAAGAGUGAUUGGUUUCAUAAGCAACUUAUUUGCUUAUUUUAAGUUGCUUAUGCAUAAGCAUGUGAAACCAAGCAGGUCCUUAACCUAUGGUUGUGGCACCACACAGUACAUAGUAUUUAAUAAUGCUAUUCGUUUGGUAUGUGCACAAGGGCACGCAUGAAAUGUCUGGCCCACGGUAAACAAGUACGGACGCUGCAAAUAAUCUACUCUGCUCGUCCAGUCCCUAGCCUAUAAAUAGAUGCCAUGCUAGCUCUUGUUGUGCUCACAAUUAAUCCUGACUACACACGAGCUUCUCUCCCUGGCCAAGACACAAUCAUAGUAUGAUGAAGAACAUGGCACUAGCCGGCAAUGGUAUGAAGAACUUAAUCCUCGCUGUUCUCUUACUGUGUCUAGUUAUAGGGCAGAUACAAGUGGAAGCUAAGAGCUGCUGCCCAUCCAUUACUGCAAGAAAUAUCUACAAUGCCUGCCGUAUCACGGGUACAUCCCGUCCAACGUGUGCAAAACUGUCAGGCUGCAAAAUUAUCAGCGGGGACAAAUGCAAGCCCCCUAACGACCACCUCACCCUUGACCCGGACACUGGUAAAUAAUAAAUUUAUCUCACUUGAUUUCUUCGUGUUUUGAGUCGUUAAUGUAUUUUCCAUCUGAUGAAACGUAUUGGUUUUGCAUUGAAGAGGAAGUUAAUGUGCUUAACUUCUGCAAGUUGGGGUGUGCGUCGUCUGUGUGCAACAACAUCAACGCUGGUAAGCACCUUUUGCUCAGACGGAGAAAACAAUAAUCAUUAAUUAGCGGCAGCUAGAAUCCUAUAAUCUAAUAUAUUUAUAUAUAUAUAUAAUUUUAUCAGCUCUGGGAAAUGAAGAGGCGAACGAUGCCGUUGAGAGUUGCGACCAAGCCUGCUCUAGCUUCUGCAACGUGCACGUUGGCGCUGCCACCGUGGUUGCUUAAGCAAAUGCAUCCAACUGGAUCGUCCUUGUGCUAAAUAAUUGGAUAUCGUAUCCACUUAAAGCUGCCUUGUGUAGUACGUUUUUGUUUGUGUCUCUCUUUAUAUUCCAAUAAGGUCGGUGAUCUUGAUGCCACACACUCAGACGUGUGUUCAUCUCCAGAUACUACUCCAUGCUACCUGCCCUUUGUGUUUUGUUCAAUAACUGGGUAUCAUAUCCCAGCCAGUGUGCCAUCUGUUUUGUGUUUAUUUCCUUCUAGUUUCAAAGGGGUUAUCAUGAUGUUAC
RNAcentral lists this long non-coding RNA (24144 nucleotides) under Setaria viridis. RNAcentral describes it as "long non-coding RNA (SVIR_LNC007217)". The record is from RNAcentral. Lineage: Eukaryota; Viridiplantae; Streptophyta; Magnoliopsida; Poales; Poaceae.